UUGUCUAGCGCAGGUCGCGACGAGUAGGAAGGAACGGGGCGGGUGCGUUGAAGGCUAUGAGGUAGGCUCGGCGGGAGCUUCCGUCAGUGCAGAUCGUAAUGGUAGUAGCAAAUAUUCAAGUUCGAUCCUUGAAGACUGAAGUGGAGAAGGGUUCCACGUGAACAGUAGUUGGAUGUGGGUCAGUCGAUCCUAAGGUACUGGCGAAAGCCUUGUAUCAUCGGUGGCGAAAAAGCUUGCUUUUUGUCCCCGCCCGUCGAAAGGGAAUAGGGUUAAUAUUCCCUAAAUGAGAUGCAAAGAUUGUGUUCUUCGGAGCACAAGCGCGGUAACGCGUUCGAACUUGGUAAGUCGCUCAGAGACCGAGCUAGAGUUUUCUUCUCUAGUUAAGGAACGGACUCCCUGGAAUUGGUUCAGCCAGAGAUGGGGACGUUGUUUCCGAAAAGCACCGCGGUUUCUGUGGUGUCUCGUGCUCUCUGAACGGCCCUUUAAACACCAAGGGAGGCUAUUAAUUUGCACUCAAUCGUACCGAUAUCCGCAUUAGGUCUCCAAGGUGAACAGCCUCUAGUCGAUAGAAUAAUGUAGGUAAGGGAAGUCGGCAAACUAGAUCCGUAACUUCGGGAAAAGGAUUGGCUCCAGUGGUCGGAACGGUUGGCCAGUUGGUUGAUGCUUGUCCGGCGCUGUUCUGUCUGCUUGAUGCUUUCGGGCUGAUGGCGGCCUAGUGAUAGUGCUUGCUUGUUGACGCUUUCUGGUGUGUGCUUUGACCUCGGUCUUAGUAUCCUGAUCGUUCAUCUAAACGACUAAACUGGAACCGGUACGGACUCAGGGAAUCCGACUGUCUAAUUAAAACAGAGGUGACAGAUGGUCCUUGCGGACGCUGACUGUCACUGAUUUCUGCCCAGUGCUCUGAAUGUUAAAUCGUAGUAAUUCGAGUAAGCGCGGGUAAACGGCGGGAGUAACUAUGACUCUCUUAAGGUAGCCAAAUGCCUCGUCAUUUAAUUGUUGACGCGCAUGAAUGGAUUAACGAGAUUCCUACUGUCCCUAACUACUAUCUAGCGAAACCACAGCCAAGGGAACGGGCUUGGCAAAAAUAGCGGGGAAAGAAGACCCUGUUGAGCUUGACUCUAGUUUGACAUUGUGAAGAGUCAUGAGAGGUGUAGCAUAGGUGGGAGU
RNAcentral lists this non-coding RNA (1167 nucleotides) under Caenorhabditis japonica. Its description in RNAcentral is "Eukaryotic large subunit ribosomal RNA". It matches the Rfam family "Eukaryotic large subunit ribosomal RNA", at positions 1364 to 2476 of the family's 3401-position model. Lineage: Eukaryota; Metazoa; Nematoda; Chromadorea; Rhabditida; Rhabditidae. The record is from Rfam by way of RNAcentral.